AACGCUGGCGGCACGCUUAACACAUGCAAGUCGAACGAGAUCUUCGGAUCUAGUGGCAGACGGGUGAGUAACGCGUGGGAACCUGCCCAGUAGUAGAGAAUAACUUGGGGAAACUUAAGCUAAUACUUUAUACGUCCUUCGGGAGAAAGCUUUAUGCGCUAUUGGAUGGGCCCGCGUUAGAUUAGUUUGUUGGUGAGGUAACGGCUCACCAAGGCGACGAUCUAUAGCUGGUCUGAGAGGAUGAUCAGCCACACUGGGACUGAGACACGGCCCAGACUCCUACGGGAGGCAGCAGUGGGGAAUAUUGGACAAUGGGGGCAACCCUGAUCCAGCGAUGCCGCGUGAGUGAUGAAGGCCCUAGGGUUGUAAAACUCUUUCGUCAGGGAAGAUAAUGACGGUACCUGAAGAAGAAGAUCCGGCUAA
This 423-nucleotide ribosomal RNA is filed under the name uncultured Pseudomonadota bacterium. RNAcentral's name for it is "bacterial SSU rRNA". It matches the Rfam family "Bacterial small subunit ribosomal RNA", at positions 32 to 500 of the family's 1533-position model. The record is from RNAcentral. Lineage: Bacteria; Pseudomonadati; Pseudomonadota.